Molecule: long non-coding RNA, 1928 nt
Filed under: Homo sapiens (human)
Lineage: Eukaryota; Metazoa; Chordata; Mammalia; Primates; Hominidae
Description: HSALNT0364353
Source: RNAcentral
UUGGCCCUUGACCAGCCUGAUUGGUUGCAGGAGGGGACCAAUCAGAGGUACCUCCCAUUUUUCAUCUGCAGCCCAAUGCAAAGUAAUGACAUGGAUCUGGAGAGAUUCUCUUAGGAGAGAAUCUGGCUAAGUGUCUAGCAGGAUGAUUGAUUAACAAGAUGUUUUGUUUUCAUCAUCUCAGAGAUAACUGUAUUGAGGUAUAAUUGAUAUGCCAAAUAACUGGACACAUUCAACUUGUGCAAUUUGAUGAGUUUGGAGAUACACAUACAUCUGUGAAACCAUCACCAAAAUCAAGAGUACAUGGUUUCCAGGCCAAAUACCACAGUGUUCCAGGCAAGGAUGUGGUCAGUUUCCUUCUCUGCUGGAUCCCAAAGCCCAGGGCAGCUCUUGCACAUAGAUCGUUGUCAUUGGAUUUAAGAGGGCCUACCCUGAUAAUACAGGAUAAACUCCUUCUCCCAAAACCUUUUCUUCUCUCAGAAUCUUUUGGCAGCAAACACAUUCAAGCAUCUUCUAUGUGCCAAGAACUUGCUGGAAAACAUCACAAAAGUUAAUAUUUUCUGGAGAUCAAGGAAUGAAACUCAGCCCUCUGCAAAUGGAACACAAACGCCUGGUACAUGGAUGCUACAAUGAAAAGAAUAUGGGUGCUGAAAUCAGAGAGAAUCAUCCAAGAUGAUCCUUAUGCAUGCUGAACUCUGAGAGCCACCAGUGAAGAAGAUAAGUGACCCAUCUACCUGUAGCUGGAAAAUAAAGGCUCUUUGGGAUUCUUUCCCAUGAGUCUUCAUUUCACCAUAUUGGUGAGAGAAGGCAUUCAGGCCCAAUAAUUAACUGAACAUUAGCUGUGUACCAGACACUGUGGUCGACAUUGAGAUAUAACGGAUUUAAGAAAGUCUUUGUGGCUGUGGUGGCUUCAAAUCACUCCCGAGGCUUUAGAAGAAUAUAAUUGCCGUUCUAAGAAGAAUCUGAGGCCUCUAGGAGAUCUGCCAGUAGUGGCCCCAAUGUAUAACAGCACUAGCUCAGUGAAGAGAGAGAGAAAAGAUCUGAAGAGAGUGGUUGCAGUUUGAGCUCUGUCAAUGGGACAGUCCUGGGCAGGAGACUGGGGAGAAGAGGCGGCUUGCUGGUUUUCCUGAACCACUUCCACCCUGAAAGACUCCUUGCAUACAAUCAUCAGAGAAGAACCGUGGGAACCAAGAACCAUGAGCAGGAGAACCAUGAGCACACUGUUCGCAAUGGCCAAGAUUUGGAGGCAACCUAAGUGUCCAUCGACAGACAAAUGGUUAAAGAAAAUGAGGGAGGAGGAAAAAACCAUGGCUGCGGAGGUGAUUUAAUAUCCUGUUGACUCUGAAGAAAAAUACACUUCUUCAUUAUAAGAGUUUUAUUGCCAAUGACUAGAAGGAAAUGUAAAGGGGACAACACAAGAUGACUAACACAGGAAGUUAUAAAACUCACAGCUCUAACUGUCAUGGCCCUGGGCCCAUGGUGCCUGAAUCCCUCUGGGAGUAUUAAAUGGAAGGCCCCCUGGUACCUGAAUUUUGUUUUAGUUUUCUCUCUCCAUCUCUGUGAUUACACAUAAAAUCAGCCAAGCACCUGCUCCCCUCCAGCCUAGAUAACACAUACCUCCAUGCUAUAAAGGGACAAUUUGACCAAGAGACACCCACCUCACCUGACCACAGAGCUGGAAAAUCUACUAUGUCAGACUUCCAUGCAACCGCUGGUGGGAGAAAGUUUUCACGAGUCUCUCUGGGCCCUUAUCCCUCUCCCCUGUAUUCCCAUCCUUAUCCAAAUCCACAUUUCACCAAACUCCCUAACGCUAAGCAGCUGUUGAAGUUCAGAUCACAGUCUCUGAGGAGCUCCUGGUUUCCCAUGGAAUGUGAUUUGCCUCAUCAUCUUACAGCCUGCCUCCACUUUGCUUUCUUAUCAUUUCAGAGGCU